Long non-coding RNA from Anguilla anguilla (European eel), 2623 nucleotides. RefSeq lists it as uncharacterized. The transcript is spliced from 3 exons. NCBI's taxonomy places the organism in Eukaryota, Metazoa, Chordata, Actinopteri, Anguilliformes, Anguillidae. The record is from RefSeq and is a predicted model, not a curated record.
UUGGUGUAAUUGCAUGGGUACAAUUGAUGCGCUGAUUCUUUUGAUUUGUACAAGUAUAUAAAUAUUGGUGUAACAGUUGGGGUCACUUUUGUAAAUAAAAUACCCCACCUGGGUUGCACAAGUUUGAAUGUCAUCACCAAAAUUCACUAUAAAAUCCGACCGACUGUCCUCAUAACAAUCACCCACAACAUUUCUGAUGGACCACUGAUGGAACGUUCGGAAUGUGAACAACACGCUUGCAGCUGACGUUAAGUUAUCAACAACCACAGCUGGCACAGAUACAGACACUACCGCUCUCUUUUGGAAAGCUUGUGACGGACAAAAUCUCUGGAAAGGGAUCAAGAGUUGUCUGCAGCCAUCAUUUGUGGAUGAAUAGUCUGACAAAAAUGAGAACAAAGCCUAGCGCCCGAGACGAAGGACAUCAUCUGCCUGGCCGGACACAGUGCCCUUGAUUACACUGCUAGGAGGGCAUUUGUACAACACAGCGGCAGAGUGGAAUGGAGAGCAUUCUGGGAAUACUCGGCUCCCUGGACUCAUUAUUGGAUAAUAGAUUUUCCAGGCAUCAUUGCGGGCGUCUCGUCGGCAGUCCCUGCACACACAUUGCCAGUGGCAGGGGCCAGAGUGACAGGGUCGAGGAGCCACAAAAUCGAAAAAAGCCAAGCUGCAACAAGAGAACAGGGCUGUCCAGCAGGAUCAGUUAUCUUGUGCUUUCCAUGGCCAACAUUGUUUGGACAUAUGGUGCUGUGUAAAUAAUGCCCUGCUCGCGCAUUGACUUUUAUGAUGUUGCUGCAUAACUACCCGAGUUUAUCAUUUCAUAUUAUUCAAAUUUUAUCACAUUGACAUUUGUUAACCCAUAACAAUCAACUAAUUCCCCCUAUUAGGGAGUGUAUGUUCUUCAUAUUCAAUGGAGAUUAUUGCCAACUCAAAAUGGCAGCGAUGCCUUCAUUCAUGGAUCUGUUUCAUACUCAGAAUUUUCUAUUCAGUACAAGAGCUCCAUGAACUGGGAGUUCAUGGUGUCUGUCUCUGAACACUUCUUGGCUUGAAGAAGGCUUAAUUAACAUGUACACAUGUGCUUAUGAGGAAGGAUCUAACAUCUUUUCCUCAGCCGUGGUAUCUCACUUUGGACACAAGUCAGAGACACUGUUUACACUAAACAGGGAGUCUGUUCUAAAUAUACUGCCCUUCUGCCAUAUGCAGUUUACCCAACCAUUUGUGUAUGGGCUCUGCUGUGUCUGUUCACAAGGUAGACACUUCAGGCCCCCUAACAGAAACGCUUGUCGACAGGGCUAGGAGGACACGGGGGGUGGGCUCUGUCCCCUUGCGUUAGCGGCUCACUGACAUGACGACAGGUGCAAGGGCAUCCCGGCCCAGCAGAAUUCACUCUCCAUUCCUGACACACAGUUGGGCUGAACCUCACUGGCUCUCAGACGGGGGUCAUCUUAAGCCAGUCGGGCAGAAGAGCCGUGGAUUAAACAGCACCCCGUUCCCCAAAGAGGGGGAUGUUUCAGUUUGACGGGCUGUACUUUGCGGCCGAGUGGACAGCUCCCACGUCCCGCCGUAGCCCUCUCUCCUGGGUGUGUCAGCCUGUCAGUGCAGAUGGCUGUGAGGAGCAAGGAACUCUCCCAGAACUGAAUCAGAUGCAUGCCCCUGGCCCACCCGUGGGCCCCAAUAAGGUGUCAUCCGCAGUUCAAUGCAUCACGCAGAAGCGGUUUGGGAUUAAACCGACACAUUUGCACCGUGAUAUUUGCCCCCUUUUUCCCCAAGAGUUAACUGACUCACCACCGCAAACAGCCAGGUCCCUCCUCUCAGGAUUGUUGUCAUUCAGUUACCCCAGGGGAAGAAAGGAUGGCUCCUUUCUUAUUUGAUGAGAGAGCCGUGUGAAUCACACCUGUUCACCUAAAUCAAAAUAGUUUUUGAAACAGACACUGUGUAUGCAGUGAAGAUGACACUACGUCUCCUUUUUGUUUUGAAAAUUCAUUUUUCUUUGAAUUGGUAAUGUGAUUCCCGUUCUUUUUGAACUGGGUCCAAUUUGUGUUGCAUUUGAACAGGGUCUCUUCUGGAGAAAAAUGAGGAACCCCUAUUUCAGCUGUUAAUUAUUGUUUGAGAAUGGGCCUCCCAGCCAGACUGAUCAUUGCUGUGCCCUGCAUGGUGUCUAGCGUGUUAAUAUCUUGACUCAUUUGGCACAGUGUGAUCUUUGCACGACUGAGGUGCGUGGUGGGAGUUCAAACAUACCCAUCCGGAUUGAAAAUCGAGCCUGUUAAAUCUAAAGUGAGAGCUUGCUGCUGAGCCACUGGUUUUUCCAGUAUGUUCACAAAGAAAGACUGAGGAUGAGAUUUUCUAAAUGGUUGUGUAUGUGUUCCAUGUGGUAAAAGCCUGUACAAUUCUGUGGGAUUUAAUUACUUGCUUUAAAAGGGGGGAAAUGACAUUAAGAACUAUUAAUCAGGGAUAGCAUCUUUGUGUGCCUUUCCCCUCCAGACAUGAAAAUCCUCAUUUUUCAAAUAUUAGUUUGCAAAUGAAACCUUAGUAAGGUUUUGGGCCGCCACCAAUCCAUCAGAAAAGCUUAGAUGCACCUUGGCAUAGAUUCUACAAGUCUCUUAAACUUUACUGGACGCAUGAAACUCCA